AAGAAGUUCAGACUUGUCCCUUUGU
RNAcentral lists this non-coding RNA (25 nucleotides) under Rattus norvegicus (Norway rat). The record is from RNAcentral. Lineage: Eukaryota; Metazoa; Chordata; Mammalia; Rodentia; Muridae.